AUUGAACGCUGGCGGCAGGCUUAACACAUGCAAGUCGAGCGGGGAAGAGUAGCUUGCUACUUAACCUAGCGGCGGACGGGUGAGUAAUGCUUAGGAAUCUGCCUAUUAGUGGGGGACAACAUCUCGAAAGGGAUGCUAAUACCGCAUACGUCCUACGGGAGAAAGCAGGGGACCUUCGGGCCUUGCGCUAAUAGAUGAGCCUAAGUCGGAUUAGCUAGUUGGUGGGGUAAAGGCCUACCAAGGCGACGAUCUGUAGCGGGUCUGAGAGGAUGAUCCGCCACACUGGGACUGAGACACGGCCCAGACUCCUACGGGAGGCAGCAGUGGGGAAUAUUGGACAAUGGGGGGAACCCUGAUCCAGCCAUGCCGCGUGUGUGAAGAAGGCCUUUUGGUUGUAAAGCACUUUAAGCGAGGAGGAGGCUACCGAGAUUAAUACUCUUGGAUAGUGGACGUUACUCGCAGAAUAAGCACCGGCUAACUCUGUGCCAGCCGCCGCCGUAA
This 501-nucleotide ribosomal RNA is filed under the name uncultured bacterium. Its description in RNAcentral is "partial 16S ribosomal RNA". It matches the Rfam family "Bacterial small subunit ribosomal RNA", at positions 30 to 523 of the family's 1533-position model. The record is from RNAcentral.